AUGCUUGCUUUGGCAGCACAUUUACUAAAACUGGAAUGAUACAGAGAAGAUUAGCGUGGUCCCUGUACAAGGAUGACAUGCAAAUUCAUGAAGUGUUCCAUAUUUAA
Rhinopithecus bieti (black snub-nosed monkey) is the source of this 107-nucleotide small nuclear RNA. The record is from Ensembl. NCBI's taxonomy places the organism in Eukaryota, Metazoa, Chordata, Mammalia, Primates, Cercopithecidae.